RNAcentral lists this ribosomal RNA (492 nucleotides) under uncultured bacterium. RNAcentral's name for it is "partial 16S ribosomal RNA". It matches the Rfam family "Bacterial small subunit ribosomal RNA", at positions 29 to 507 of the family's 1533-position model. The record is from RNAcentral.
AGUGAACGCUGGCGGUAGGCCUAACACAUGCAAGUCGAACGGCAGCACAGUAAGAGCUUGCUCUUACGGGUGGCGAGUGGCGGACGGGUGAGGAAUACAUCGGAAUCUACUUUUUCGUGGGGUAUAACGUAGGGAAACUUACGCUAAUACCGCAUACGACCUACGGGUGAAAGCAGGGGAUCUUCGGACCUUGCGCGAUUGAAUGAGCCGAUGUCGGAUUAGCUAGUUGGCGGGGUAAAGGCCCACCAAGGCGACGAUCCGUAGCUGGUCUGAGAGGAUGAUCAGCCACACUGGAACUGAGACACGGUCCAGACUCCUACGGGAGGCCGCAGUGGGGAAUAUUGGACAAUGGGGGAAAGCCUGAUACAGCAAUACCGCGUGGGUGAAGAAGGCCUUAGGGUUGUAAAGCCCUUUUGUUGGGAAAGAAAAGCAGCAGGUUAAUACCCCGCUGUUCUGACGGUACCCAAAGAAUAAGCACCGGCUAACUUCGUG